CGUUGUUGGGUUGCUGCCCCUGAAUUUGUAAUUUUGAGAACAUUUUGCAGCUUUUGGUUAUUAUCUUUAAUAUUAUUAUAGAGAUAACCUGUAAACAGCAAUAAUGUACAGCAAACUAAGACCUACAAAUAAGUCAACAUGAUCAAAAUGGUCAUUUGACCGAGUAGUUAUCGCCCUUUAUAGUCAAUUUUUAACAAAUUUUGUAAAUUUUGUAAAUUUUUACAAAAUAUUUUAACUGCUAAGUUCAUUAUAGAUAGAGAUAAUUGUAAGCAGCAAGAACAUUCAGUAAAGUAAGAUCUACAAACACAUCACCA
Molecule: long non-coding RNA, 314 nt
Filed under: Mytilus galloprovincialis (Mediterranean mussel)
Lineage: Eukaryota; Metazoa; Mollusca; Bivalvia; Mytilida; Mytilidae
Source: RNAcentral